UCGAUAUGUUGACACCACUCACGUACUC
RNAcentral lists this small RNA (28 nucleotides) under Bombyx mori (domestic silkworm). RNAcentral's name for it is "ovarian small RNA-28449". The record is from RNAcentral. Lineage: Eukaryota; Metazoa; Arthropoda; Insecta; Lepidoptera; Bombycidae.